RNAcentral lists this ribosomal RNA (370 nucleotides) under uncultured Sphingobacteriales bacterium. RNAcentral describes it as "bacterial SSU rRNA". It matches the Rfam family "Bacterial small subunit ribosomal RNA", at positions 1014 to 1382 of the family's 1533-position model. Lineage: Bacteria; Pseudomonadati; Bacteroidota; Sphingobacteriia; Sphingobacteriales. The record is from RNAcentral.
ACUUCUUCGGAACAAUAUACAAGGUGCUGCAUGGUUGUCGUCAGCUCGUGCCGUGAGGUGUCGGGUUAAGUCCCAUAACGAGCGCCAACCCCUAUCAUUAGUUGCCAUCAGGUCAAGCGUGGGGACUCUAAUGAAACUGCCUACGCAAGUAGUGAGGAAGGUGGGGAUGACGUCAAAUCAGCACGGCCCUUACGUCCAGGGCUACACACGUGCUACAAUGGCCGAUACAGGAGGGCAGCUACCUGGUGACAGGAUGCAAAUCUCCAAAGUCGGUCUCAGUUCGGAUCGGAGUCUGCAACCCGACUCCGUGAAGUCGGAAUCGCUAGUAAUCGUGAAUCAGAAUGUCACGGUGAAUACGUUCCCGGGCCUU